AUUCUGUUCAAUAUCAAGGCUCAAAUCGAAAAAUAUUUCAUCUCUUGCUGUAACAGUCUCACACUGCAGGCAUCUUGUCUCGUUGGUAAGAAUUCCCUGAUCCAAGUAUGAAUGAGAAACCAUGAGACGCUGGCUUUUUAUUUAUUUAUUUGGCUGGUUGGAGAGAGGGCAGAGGGGGAAAGAGGGGAAAGGGGAAAAGAGGGGGUCGGUGCAGAGCAAUAAGAAUAUUACCACCACCAUUUAAAAUAUUUAAGCAAGGAACUACGGCUAUGCAAAUAAUUUACACAAGAAAAAUAUUAAAUGAGAAUAUAUAAUUGGCUAUUGAAAGUCACCUGAAAAUUUUUGUGCACCCAAG
This 355-nucleotide unclassified non-coding RNA is filed under the name Hevea brasiliensis (rubber tree). The record is from RNAcentral. Lineage: Eukaryota; Viridiplantae; Streptophyta; Magnoliopsida; Malpighiales; Euphorbiaceae.